UAGGGAAUCUUCCACAAUGGACGAAAGUCUGAUGGAGCAACGCCGCGUGAGUGAAGAAGGGUUUCGGCUCGUAAAACUCUGUUGUUAAAGAAGAACGUAUCUGAGAGUAACUGUUCAGGUAUUGACGGUAUUUAACCAGAAAGCCACGGCUAACUACGUGCCAA
RNAcentral lists this ribosomal RNA (164 nucleotides) under uncultured bacterium. RNAcentral's name for it is "partial 16S rRNA". It matches the Rfam family "Bacterial small subunit ribosomal RNA", at positions 355 to 511 of the family's 1533-position model. The record is from RNAcentral.